GGGGAAUAUUGGGCAAUGGGCGCAAGCCUGACCCAGCAACGCCGCGUGAAGGAAGAAGGCUUUCGGGUUGUAAACUUCUUUUAUCAGGGAAGAGUAGAAGACUGUACCUGAUGAAUAAGCCACGGCUAACUACGUGCCAGCAGCCGCGGUAAUACGUAGGUGGCAAGCGUUGUCCGGAUUUACUGGGUGUAAAGGGCGUGUAGCCGGGAAGGCAAGUCAGAUGUGAAAUCUGGAGGCUCAACCUCCAAACUGCAUUUGAAACUGUUUUUCUUGAGUAUCGGAGAGGCAAUCGGAAUUCCUAGUGUAGCGGUGAAAUGCGUAGAUAUUAGGAGGAACACCAGUGGCGAAGGCGGAUUGCUGGACGACAACUGACGGUGAGGCGCGAAAGCGUGGGGAGCAAACA
Molecule: ribosomal RNA, 403 nt
Filed under: uncultured Oscillospiraceae bacterium
Lineage: Bacteria; Bacillati; Bacillota; Clostridia; Eubacteriales; Oscillospiraceae
Description: bacterial SSU rRNA
Rfam family: Bacterial small subunit ribosomal RNA
Source: RNAcentral